CACGAAGCUCCCGUAUUCCCGUUUGCCCCAAUACGUAUUCAUUCCUCCUCUUUCGCCUUCCCUGCCGACAAUCGACCGUGGGGAGCAGAGGCAUCGAGUGGAUCUGCUACCGCCCCGUACCGUCGUCGCGGCCUCCAGCGGGAGGUCCGCCGGCGUGAAAGGAGGAGUGCGGCAAGCCCGAGUUCGGCUGAAGCUUCUGUCGCAGCUAUGGCGCCGCGCCCGUCCCAGAUUGCGGCUUCUCCCGUCGCAAGACCGGCUCCCCAUCUUGAUUCGUCCUCGCGCCAAAGGCCAUGUCUUGGAGUUGCCGGCAGCCAUGGUGGAGCUCGGGUCGGGAUAGUGGAGGUAGUGGUGGUGGCUGUUGUGCAGAGGCCGCGGCGAGCGACGAGGGCGGCCGCCAUCCAGCGGGUCUUCGGGGCCCCGACACCAUUCACGCAGCUGCCGACCUCGCCUGCUGCGCGCCAUGGAUGAGGCCACAGUUCAACUAAGUGAACAAACUACUCCUUAGAUCGAUGCAUGCAAAGUCAUAUGGUUGGAUUGAUCCUCAUCCAGGUGACAAUGGCGCUCCAUUACCAUGGUCAUCGACUACUGGUCUGUUUGUCAGCAGAGGAAAUGGUGCAACUAGUUCAACAAGAAGGACAAGAAUAAUGAAAAGAGGAGAUAAAGAAGAAUACGAGUCAGAUUUCUUACUUUUGGUCCUGAAGAUCCAUUGCCGUGUUCAUGGUUCUCAUGACCACUGCUUGAAGAAGCCAUAGAGGACAAUGAUUUCCUUACUUUAAACCUCGGAUCGCUUGAUAUUUGCAGACUUUGCUAUCUGCCUGAAUUUGGUUUGUGGAUGCAAUCAGGCUCCAGAUUGAAAUCUCUUCCGCCUGGUAUUUAGGAUCUUGUGUUUGUAAAGUUUUGCCUCGUGCCUCUGUUUUCUAUAUUGGCGCCAAAAUAGUUAGAUUGGCGGACA
This is a long non-coding RNA of Triticum dicoccoides, 952 nucleotides long. RefSeq lists it as uncharacterized. The transcript has 3 exons. The record is from RefSeq and is a predicted model, not a curated record. NCBI's taxonomy places the organism in Eukaryota, Viridiplantae, Streptophyta, Magnoliopsida, Poales, Poaceae.